GUGUAUCUCUCUAUUUUGAGAGAUAGAGGUCUUGUUAGUUGUAUACCUUUAGUGAUGAUGAUGUCACUUUUGUUCUUUGAUUUGGUCAGCAGGUUGAAGUAGAGCUUUAAUAGUAGCUGGCAACAUCUUGCUCAGUGUGCACGCUCACAGAACUUUCACUUGUAGAAUUAAUAAACUUUGCUCGAUGUGUUGUCCUGUUUGCAAAACUAAGGUAGAGAUCAAGUGCAUGAGCUCUGCUGGUGGAAAAACACCAACAGAACCAAAUCUAUUUCUUUCUUUCUUUCUUUAUUUAUUUAUUUAUUUUUCUCCAUCCUUAGGCACAUU
RNAcentral lists this long non-coding RNA (324 nucleotides) under Sorghum bicolor (sorghum). RNAcentral describes it as "long non-coding RNA (SBIC_LNC008094)". The record is from RNAcentral. Lineage: Eukaryota; Viridiplantae; Streptophyta; Magnoliopsida; Poales; Poaceae.